UACAUGGGGUGCAAACGUUGCUCGGAAUUAUUUGGCGUAAAGCGCGCGUAGGCGGUUACUUAAGUCGGAUGUGAAAGCCCUCGGCUUAACUGAGGAAGUGCACCCGAAACUGAGUAGCUAGAGUACGAAAGAGGGUCGCGGAAUUCCCGGUGUAGAGGUGAAAUUCGUAGAUAUCGGGAGGAACACCGGUGGCGAAGGCGGCGACCUGGGUCGAGACUGACGCUGAGGCGCGAAAGCGUGGGGAGCAAACAGG
Molecule: ribosomal RNA, 253 nt
Filed under: uncultured bacterium
Lineage: Bacteria
Description: partial 16S ribosomal RNA
Rfam family: Bacterial small subunit ribosomal RNA
Source: RNAcentral